CCCAAGUAGUGUGAUAUGGUGUGUGUGUUGUAGACCAGAAGUACCUGAUGCUGUAGAUAAUGUGGACAUGAGUCUGGAGGACUUGCAGCUUCUCCUGAGGACCCACCAGCAAAGUGUGGAGCCCACCGCUGCUGUCGUAGAUCCAUUCAGUUUCAACCUGCCCUUGAGUGAGUGGAACUUUAAUGACAUGGAGUCCAACCUAAAAUCAUACAUGUUUCAGAGCCAGGAGGCAGAGGCUUACCCCAAUGCUGGAUGUGAGGAACAGUAACGGCUUGACAGAUCAGCUGGCACAGGCUAGUCCUGACAAAGAAAGAUAAUUUGGAAUUUCUGGAAAACCAUUAGAAUCUGAAGAAACACCAGUGCACUUCCUUUGACUGUGGAGGACACAUCUACAUGGAAAACAGCCCAGGUCUUGACAAUCUUCCUUUUGAACUGAUAAUACUAUACUGUGCAAUAUUACAGAGUUGUGAGAAUUCACAAGGUUGCAAUACAUCAAUGACCCUUGGAAUGUAUAAAGUAACUGUAUCAGAGGCUGCAUCAUAAGUAACACCUGUAGACUAUAAUCUUAGAAGAGGGAAAUGUAAGGUGGCGUAUAAUUGAAAUUGCACUAAGAAUUAUCAUUGUAUUAGAUUUAGCAGUGUUCAUUUAGACUUAGUAUUUAUCAGUGUUUUCUUUAUUACUGAAAUAUGAGUUUCUCUGAUUUGCUAGGAGUGAUACUUUACAUUCAAUUGGCGUUGUAUUUCUUUUUUAUUCAUUUGCACUGAUCGGAUGUUGAUGAUCGGAUGUUUUUAAAUAUACAUAAUGCUUGUCAAGAUUGCAGACUCAUCAAAAUAUUAAAACAUUUUUGAUUAAUCAUCAUCUUCCGUAACAAAAGAAAUCCAUGGUUAUAAUGCAUCAUUGUCUAUGGCUUUGCAAGGACAGUAUUGUACAUGGGCAGAACUGGACUAAAGUCACAAUGAAACAAACAUGUAUGCAAUGACAAUAAAUGUAGUUAAAAAUAAAAGUGAGCAUUUUACAAGUGCUCUCGUUUGUGUGUGGGGAAGAGGGAGUGGUGGAGUAUUUUACCAAAAGGAGGCCUAUCAUGAAAUUAUAGUAUUUUACCAAAAAGAGGCCUAUCAUGAAAUUAUAGUAUUUUCUAAUGUAUAUGUAUAUUUUUUCUAAGCAGAAUAAUUAUUUUACAUGAUUUCUGUAAGAACUAUAUGAUAGCUGUUAGCUCAUCAAAAAUGUAAGGAAAACUCAUUUUUGGGGGUGGGAGUAGAGGGUGGCACUGAGGGUAGAGGUUAACAAGCAGUACAGAUUCUAAGUAUUUUUGCUCCUUCAUUACUUUCAUCCAGUGGGAUAUGAUCCUGCUUACAAGACUCUGGGAAACAGGAAAAAAAAACCUGCAAGAUCUCCUUGGAUUAGGUUGAAUUUCUGCCUCAUCAGGGUCAUCAGUAUUAGAUCCAUGAUGUCCAGUUUGAAGUUGGUGCUGUUGAAAGGUGUAAGGAAAGAAACGUGCAAAGAAUGCAAGAAAAGGUAGGCCAGUGUAAAUUGUUGAGCUGGUGUCGUUCUUGAACGGUUUUGGUUAAUAGUUCCUCAACUUUGUUACAUUGGAUUUGUUUAUGACAGGUGGAUUUAUUUGGAGGCCAUUUUGUCAUGUAGCUGAAUCUUCCCACUUGAUUUGAAUUCCGCAGUUUGCAUCUGGUCAUCCUCAUAUUCAGUAAAGUUACAGCUUUGCGGUAAACUGUCACCAUGACGAUCAUCUGUACAAAAUGUAAGAAUGUUAACUACUUAUUUUUUGCAAACUUGACCAAUGCCACAUACACGUCAUGUUGGGAACUGUAAAUACGACCUUCCUACUGGGAAAAUACACAUGAAGGCCCCUCCAACUUGUAAUUACAACUGGAAACGACUGAUUUCUGGACCCUGAUCUGUCCCACAUGCUGAACUCUGAUGUCAUGCACCGCUGAAAAUGGCAGCGAUUUCGGCUGUCAAUGAUGAGAAGGUUUCUUGCUUUCCUUCCGAGCACUUGAAUGCUCAGUCGUUCCUCUGAUCACUCCGACAUAACAUAACACUCAAACAUAAAAAACAAGUAAGUUAGCUAAAUACAAUGUGUCUCAAAUCAAUUAGGUAACGUUAGCUAGCUACAUUUUCUAACCUGAAUGCAUGUUCUCAUAUCUACACAGACUAGCAGCUUGUUGUUGGCAAAGAAAGUAAACAGGUAGGCUACCAUGUGACUAACAUUAAUUGUAGCUGACCUACUAGUAUGGUCAGUGUGUUCAGAGUUGGAUCGUGUUUCCUUAGCUAGAGCAGCUAUGUAAGUAUAUUAUUUUAUUACAUGUUAGCACCUUUCCCACUUGGCUAGCUAGUGUUAGCUUUAACGUUACACACAUUACUUGUUUGAAUUGAUGACGUCCUGAACAGUAGUUGCCUUUCCUUCUUUACAUGGGCAUCGUAGCCAAGAUACUUUUCUGGAAUAGGGUGCUCCUCUGUAGGUUUCCUGUCCACAAAGUGGAAAGAGCAAUUGAGGGUAGUUUCGGGUAUUUAUUCAAAUGUGUGGCUUUGAGCCAAAUCUGAAUGGAUGCCUCG
Molecule: long non-coding RNA, 2568 nt
Filed under: Salmo trutta (river trout)
Lineage: Eukaryota; Metazoa; Chordata; Actinopteri; Salmoniformes; Salmonidae
Description: lncRNA (ENSSTUG00000008154.1)
Source: RNAcentral